GAAACUUGUUUUGCCAUUUUUUUAUGAGAUGUAUCAUAUCAACAUUUAUAUUAUUGCCUUUGCUAGACAAUAUUGAAUAAAAGAUUUUUUAGAAAAGAAACAUGUCUUAAAACAAAUAGUUGGUAAAGAUAUACGAGUUUUGGGUUUGAAAAACUUUGUUUUGUUCUUUUAAUAAAACACUAGAGUUUAAUCCGCGUGUCCGCUCGGGUGAUGGUUUUUAAUUUUUUUUUAAUAAACUGUUUAAUGGCAUUUCUAAACCAUUGUUUAUUUGAAUAUUUUUAGGCUUCUA
Molecule: long non-coding RNA, 289 nt
Filed under: Brassica rapa (field mustard)
Lineage: Eukaryota; Viridiplantae; Streptophyta; Magnoliopsida; Brassicales; Brassicaceae
Description: long non-coding RNA (BRAP_LNC005289)
Source: RNAcentral